This 253-nucleotide long non-coding RNA is filed under the name Homo sapiens (human). Its description in RNAcentral is "HSALNT0302382". The record is from RNAcentral. Lineage: Eukaryota; Metazoa; Chordata; Mammalia; Primates; Hominidae.
ACACUCGCCUGGGUCUCCGGUUGGCGGCUCGGACGGAGUUCAUUUGCCGGGCUGAGGUGGCGGCGUUGGCGGAGGGACACACACACGCACACGCACAGCGAGCUUCGGGGCAGGAGAAAGGGGUCCCACAAACUGCAAGGAAAAGAAAAACCCUCAACAGGAAUUACCUUUAUACCUGAUGCCCCCAACAUAAUCUCUCUCCAAGGGAAACGUGUUUUUAUUGCCUUGCGGCUGAAAAUGUAUUCUCGAUUCU